GAUGAACGCUAGCGACAGGCUUAACACAUGCAAGUCGAGGGGCGGCGAGAAAGAGCUUGCACUUUUGUCGGCGACCGGCGCACGGGUGAGUAACACGUAUGCAACCUGCCCUUGUCAGGGGGAUAAGCGGGGGAAACCCCGUCUAAUACCGCAUAUAUGGUUUGGAGGCAUCUUUAAAUCAGGAAAGAAUUAUCGGACAAGGAUGGGCAUGCGGGACAUUAGGUAGUUGGGGGUGUAACGGACCACCAAGCCGACGAUGUCUAGGGGUUCUGAGAGGAAGGUCCCCCACACUGGUACUGAGACACGGACCAG
RNAcentral lists this ribosomal RNA (312 nucleotides) under uncultured bacterium. RNAcentral describes it as "bacterial SSU rRNA". It matches the Rfam family "Bacterial small subunit ribosomal RNA", at positions 28 to 334 of the family's 1533-position model. The record is from RNAcentral.